This 300-nucleotide unclassified non-coding RNA is filed under the name Tricholomataceae sp. RNAcentral's name for it is "partial contains small subunit ribosomal RNA and internal transcribed spacer 1". Lineage: Eukaryota; Fungi; Basidiomycota; Agaricomycetes; Agaricales; Tricholomataceae. The record is from RNAcentral.
AAGUCGUAACAAGGUUAAAUAUCGAUGUAGGUAAAAACCACCUCCGAAGCCUUGAACUCUAGUCUAUUCUUAAUAGGCUACACCGGUCUGUUGCUAGGCCUAGCAUUUAUAUCAGUUAAAUGUUUAACUAGCAGUCGUUUAUACGAUUCACAGGUCAAACACCGGUGGUGAGCAAAUUCGCGAAUUUAGAUAUGAUCGGUCAGUCUUUGUUAAGAAGUUUGAUAAACGUUCCGUAGGUGAACCUGCGGAAGGAUCAUUAUUGAAUGAAUCGGGGGACUGUUGCUGGCCCGUCAAAGGGCA